AUGAACGCUGGCGGCGUGCCUAAUACCUGCAAGUCGAGCGAACAGACGAGGAGCUUGCUCCUCUGACGUUAGCGGCGGACGGGUGAGUAACACGUGGAUAACCUACCUAUAAGACUGGGAUAACUUCGGGAAACCGGAGCUAAUACCGGAUAAUAUAUUGAACCGCAUGGUUCAAUAGUGAAAGACGGUUUUGCUGUCACUUAUAGAUGGAUCCGCGCCGCAUUAGCUAGUUGGUAAGGUAACGGCUUACCAAGGCAACGAUGCGUAGCCGACCUGAGAGGGUGAUCGGCCACACUGGAACUGAGACACGGUCCAGACUCCUACGGGAGGCAGCAGUAGGGAAUCUGCCGCAAUGGGCGAAAGCCUGACGGAGCAACGCCGCGUGAGUGAUGAAGGUCUUCGGAUCGUAAAACUCUGUUAUUAGGGAAGAACAAAUGUGUAAGUAACUAUGCACGUCUUGACGGUACCUAAUCAGAAAGCCACGGCUAACUACGU
This 495-nucleotide ribosomal RNA is filed under the name uncultured bacterium. RNAcentral's name for it is "partial 16S ribosomal RNA". It matches the Rfam family "Bacterial small subunit ribosomal RNA", at positions 29 to 506 of the family's 1533-position model. The record is from RNAcentral.